This 447-nucleotide ribosomal RNA is filed under the name uncultured bacterium. RNAcentral describes it as "bacterial SSU rRNA". It matches the Rfam family "Bacterial small subunit ribosomal RNA", at positions 29 to 521 of the family's 1533-position model. The record is from RNAcentral.
AACGAACGCUGGCGGCAUGCCUAACACAUGCAAGUCGAACGAGACCUUCGGGUCUAGUGGCGCACGGGUGCGUAACGCGUGGGAACCUGCCUUUAGGUUCGGAAUAACUCAGAGAAAUUUGAGCUAAUACCGGAUAAUGUCUUCGGACCAAAGAUUUAUCGCCUUUAGAUGGGCCCGCGUUGGAUUAGCUAGUUGGUGGGUAAAGCCUACCAAGGCGACGAUCCAUAGCUGGUCUGAGAGGAUGAUCAGCCACACUGGGACUGAGACACGGCCCAGACUCCUACGGGAGGCAGCAGUGGGGAAUAUUGGGACAAAUGGGCGAAAGCCUGAUCCAGCAAUGCCGCGUGAGUGAUGAAGGCCUUAGGGUUGUAAAGCUCUUUUACCCGGGAUGAUAAUGACAGUACCGGGAGAAUAAGCUCCGGCUAACUCCGUGCCAGCAGCCGCGGU